This 337-nucleotide unclassified non-coding RNA is filed under the name soil metagenome. Its description in RNAcentral is "partial contains 5.8S ribosomal RNA, internal transcribed spacer 2, and large subunit ribosomal RNA". The stretch from base 1 to 120 matches the Rfam family "5.8S ribosomal RNA", at positions 35 to 154 of the family's 154-position model. The record is from RNAcentral.
GAUGAAGAACGCAGCGAAAUGCGAUAAGUAGUGUGAAUUGCAGAAUUCAGUGAAUCAUCGAAUCUUUGAACGCACAUUGCGCCCCUUGGUAUUCCGGGGGGCAUGCCUGUUCGAGCGUCAUUUCAACCCUCAAGCUCUGCUUGGUAUUGGGCUCCGUCCUCCUCGGACGCGCCUCAAAGACCUCGGCGGUGGCGUCUUGCCUCAAGCGUAGUAGAAACACCUCGCUUUGGAGUGCAUGGCGUCGCCCGCCGGACGAAACCUUUUGUAUUUUCUCAAAGGUUGACCUCGGAUCAGGUAGGGAUACCCGCUGAACUUAAGCAUAUCAAUAAGCGGAGGA